AUUGCACAAUGGGCGAAAGCCUGAUGCAGCAACGCCGCGUGAGUGAUGAAGGCCUUCGGGUUGUAAAACUCUGUCUUCUGGGCCGAUAAUGACGGUACCAGCGGAGGAAGCCACGGCUAACUACGUGCCAGCAGCAGCGGUAAUACGAAGGUGGCAAGCGUUGUCCGGCUUUACUGGGCGUAAAGGAUGCGUAGGCGGAUACUUACUUCAGAUGUGAACAUCCCGGGCUUAACUUGGGAACUGCAUUUGAAACUGGGUAUCUAGAGUGCGGGAGAGGAAAGUGGAGUUCCUAGUGUAGCGGUGAAAAGCGUAGAGAUUAGGAAGAACACCAGUGGCGAAGGCGACUUUCUGGACCGUAACUGACGCUGCGGCAGGAAAGCGUGGGGAGCAAACA
This 394-nucleotide ribosomal RNA is filed under the name uncultured bacterium. RNAcentral's name for it is "bacterial SSU rRNA". It matches the Rfam family "Bacterial small subunit ribosomal RNA", at positions 363 to 774 of the family's 1533-position model. The record is from RNAcentral.